Molecule: ribosomal RNA, 255 nt
Filed under: uncultured bacterium
Lineage: Bacteria
Description: partial 16S ribosomal RNA
Rfam family: Bacterial small subunit ribosomal RNA
Source: RNAcentral
UACGGAGGGAGCUAGCGUUAUUCGGAAUUACUGGGCGUAAAGCGCACGUAGGCGGCUUUGCAAGUUAGAGGUGAAAGCCUGGAGCUCAACUCCAGAACUGCCUUUAAAACUGCAUCGCUUGAAUCCAGGAGAGGUGAGUGGAAUUCCGAGUGUAGAGGUGAAAUUCGUAGAUAUUCGGAAGAACACCAGUGGCGAAGGCGGCUCACUGGAGCUGGUAUUGACGCUGAGGUGCGAAAGCGUGGGGAGCAAACAGGG